Molecule: long non-coding RNA, 175 nt
Filed under: Monodelphis domestica (gray short-tailed opossum)
Lineage: Eukaryota; Metazoa; Chordata; Mammalia; Didelphimorphia; Didelphidae
Description: lncRNA (ENSMODG00000038867.1)
Source: RNAcentral
CUCUCUCUUCUCUGCCUCUUGUCUGCCUGUCUAUCUCCACCUCCUCUCUCUUCUCUGUCUCUUGUCUGUCUGUCUGUCUGUCUCCACCUCCUCUCUCCUCUGCCUCUGUCUGUCUGUCUCUGUCUCUCUUCUCUAUGUCUCCUUUUUCUCUGUGUCUGUCUCCCCUUCUCUCUCU